RNAcentral lists this ribosomal RNA (253 nucleotides) under uncultured bacterium. RNAcentral's name for it is "partial 16S ribosomal RNA". It matches the Rfam family "Bacterial small subunit ribosomal RNA", at positions 524 to 776 of the family's 1533-position model. The record is from RNAcentral.
UACAGAGGUCUCAAGCGUUGUUCGGAUUCAUUGGGCGUAAAGGGGGCGUAGGUGGCGCCGUAAGUCGGGGGUGAAAUUUCGGAGCUUAACUCCGAAACUGCAUUCGAUACUGCGGUGCUUGAGGACUGGAGAGGAGACUGGAAUUCAUGGUGUAGCAGUGAAAUGCGUAGAGAUCAUGAGGAAGACCAGUGGCGAAGGCGGGUCUCUGGACAGUUCCUGACACUGAGACACGAAGGCCAGGGGAGCAGACGGG